GGCUGGUCCGAAGGUAGUGAGUUAUCUCACUUGAUUGUUCACAGUCAGUUACAGAUUGAACUCCUUAUUAUACUACUUUCCCCCCUCCUCACUACUGCACUUGACUAGUCUUUU
Propithecus coquereli (Coquerel's sifaka) is the source of this 114-nucleotide unclassified non-coding RNA. It matches the Rfam family "Y RNA". From Rfam's summary of the family: Y RNAs are components of the Ro ribonucleoprotein particle (Ro RNP), in association with Ro60 and La proteins. The Y RNAs and Ro60 and La proteins are well conserved, but the function of the Ro RNP is not known. NCBI's taxonomy places the organism in Eukaryota, Metazoa, Chordata, Mammalia, Primates, Indriidae. The record is from Ensembl.